AUUGAACGCUGGCGGCAGGCCUAACACAUGCAAGUCGAGCGGAUGAAGGGAGCUUGCUCCUGGAUUCAGCGGCGGACGGGUGAGUAAUGCCUAGGAAUCUGCCUGGUAGUGGGGGAUAACGUCCGGAAACGGGCGCUAAUACCGCAUACGUCCUGAGGGAGAAAGUGGGGGAUCUUCGGACCUCACGCUAUCAGAUGAGCCUAGGUCGGAUUAGCUAGUUGGUGGGGUAAAGGCCUACCAAGGCGACGAUCCGUAACUGGUCUGAGAGGAUGAUCAGUCACAGUGGAACGGAGCCAGGGCCAAGACGCCUGAGGGAGGCAGCAGGGGGGAAUGUUGGACAAGGGGGGAAAGCCUGAUCCAACCAGCCGGGGGGUGUGAAAAAGGUCUUCGGUUUGUAAAGCAGUUUAGGUGGGGGGAAAGGGCAGUAAGUUAAUACCUUGCUUUUUUGACGUUACCAAAAAAAUAAGCACCGGCUAACUCCGUG
RNAcentral lists this ribosomal RNA (484 nucleotides) under uncultured bacterium. Its description in RNAcentral is "partial 16S ribosomal RNA". It matches the Rfam family "Bacterial small subunit ribosomal RNA", at positions 29 to 507 of the family's 1533-position model. The record is from RNAcentral.